UAAGGUUUCCUGUCCAAUGCAAGUCAGAGCAGGGUCAGCCGGCCCCUAAGGCGAGGCCGAAAGGCGUAGCCGAUGGGAAGCGCGUCAACAUUCGCGCGCCGCUAGACGGACGUUACGAGCCAGGGAGCGACGGGAUUGGGAAGGCCGACGGGCGAUCAGAAAUGCCCGAUGAGGCCCGAGGGGUAGCGGCAGGCAAAUCCACCGCGACAUCCCCGGAGGCACCACGAGCCCAUUUAUGUCGGCGAAGAGGCUGGAACAAUCUCCGAGAAAAACUUCGUGGUCAGUCCGGCUGGCGACCGUACCAGAAACCGACACAGGCAGGC
RNAcentral lists this ribosomal RNA (323 nucleotides) under Stutzerimonas marianensis. RNAcentral describes it as "partial 23S ribosomal RNA". It matches the Rfam family "Bacterial large subunit ribosomal RNA", at positions 1346 to 1668 of the family's 2925-position model. The record is from RNAcentral. Lineage: Bacteria; Pseudomonadati; Pseudomonadota; Gammaproteobacteria; Pseudomonadales; Pseudomonadaceae.